CUUUGUCCUUUGCAGCUGACCGCCUCACUUCCAUCCACCCACUGCUGCUGUGGUGCUGGUAGUGCUGGAAGAGCUUGGGUUGGCCUUCAGCAUUUUCUCCAGUCACCCAGUGAACGAAGGGAGAAAGGGUCAGAAGAGAGCACUUCUCCUAAAAACCCAAUACCAGCCUAGUAUAUUUCAGUAUUUCAAAUCUGCAGCAUGGUGUAGAUAGUUGAUGGGGCUGCGACUACUGAUCUGCCUCCUGUGUCAUUCUCUGGGCUGUAGACUGGAUUACAACUUCUAUUUUGUGUAGUUGGCAUCUCCAAAUGCCAUUGCAGAAUUCCCAGAGGACAGAGGUGCACAAUGACACAGGAUUUUAUUGAAUAUGGAGCUAUUUUAUAGGCAGUCUCUUUGAAUCAUUAGACGAUAAAUGUCUGCAAGGCUGAAGAGAAGAGGAAUUUCCAACUGGCUCUUAAUGCUGAUGAAUUAUUGUUGCUUACAUGGUUUGGAGAGCUUUUUCUUCAGUAUUUGCCUUGCUCUCUUCAUCAUACAAUGGUAGUUGGAGAAUAACAUAGCUAAUGUUUCUAGUGGCAUUAUAUGUAACAGCUUGAACUGAAACAUUAACACUUUGACUAUUUCUCAAUAUAAUAAAAUGAUAACAUAUAACUGCGGGGAUCUAUCACAUUUCUUAAAUUGAUCUCACUUCCAAUGAAGGACAUUCUAAAAAAAUCUCUCAUUUUGUGCCUUUCUAAAGCAUUCAUCCCAUCACUGAAAGGCAGUAUUUCUCUUUAACUUGAAUUUCGGUCUGUGUGGAAGAAGGAAAGAAAACUACUUCUGUUGGAGGUAAAAUAAAUUCUGGUGUGCUCUGUUUCUCCCACCUGUAUGUUUGUUGUUAAUGUUUUGUUCUUGUGUCAGCAAAGGCCAGACAGCCAUCAAUAUGUCAUCUUCAGAGCAUUCUAGUGAGAAGGGAUAAGGCUGACAUCUAUGGUAAGAGAUACGCAUGGAGAGAUGGUGCCCCUAUGUAACUAUCAUUACAGUAAACAUCUAGGUGCUCUUCCCAAACUUUUCCAAACAGGCUUUCUUUGCUGUUCUUAACAGUUCAAUAAUAACAGUUUAAUAAGGAAUUAGCUGCGUUCAGCUGAAGUGGGAUAGUUCAACCAGUCUAUAUGCGGUUGAGGUAUGAUUGAUGGCCAUUUGUUCUGCCUUGCUGCAGUGCUGUAAGACAGAAUUGACAGGUUUUCAGCUAUUGUGAUCCCAUCACAUAGCAACUACUGAUUAUAUCUCUAGUUGCUGGGGGUCAUUGCCAUUUGUCUGAAAUGGACCUUGCUUUUAUCUAAGUUUUCAUCUGAUUGAAGGCUGCUCUGUAGAGGAUAGUCCUCACAUCUUCUUCAGAACAUCUGAAAAUGUUUUUUGGAGAGACACUGGGCAGCAUGUGUUCUGCUGCUCAAUUCAGCGCACUGACUGCUCAGUGGCUUCUGUGUGAAGCUUAAAGAGUCAGUCUAAAACUAUGAAAUAUGUGGCGGUUUAUUCAACAAAGUUGACUGAAUCCCUCCAGCAGAACCACAGAUGGAUUAACAGUGUGAGGUUAUUGAGCCAAGUCUUUCCUUGACUGCUGUGUCAAAGUUGCUUUUGUUUAGAUGUUGAAGUCACUGCUGCCAGGUCCUCUCAGGUACCCUCAAAACCUGUAAAAGGAAGCUGUCUUCUGAGAAGCUCAUCUGUUUUCCAGACCUACCCGAGAAGGAAAAAGGAAAAACUGCUGAUGGACAUAAGUUUGCAGUUAUUUCUUUUCUUUGCUCAUUGUUUACUCUGUAGUUAGUUGGAUUUGUAAGAAAUACAAGCACUAUAGUAAGCAGAGAUAGCAAAUGACUUUCUCCUGUUCUUGAAUGAUUUGGUCAGUCUGUGCAUUCUGCAUAAGAUCUUUCUUGACUAGGAUGCUUUGGGGAAAAUUUAGAGGACAAAAUUGACUUUCAGUUAAGGCAUGGCUGGGUUCCAUCCCUGGGACUUGGUUCAAUUAUCAGUUAUGUCUCAGACUUUCUUUGCACUGGGAAGGUAAUGUGCAAGGAAGUCAUGUAGCUUAAAUCAUGUGGCAGUAGGAAGAUGCUGGGAAGACAGAAGCAUCUAUGCUUCCUCUGUGCUGAUGAACAUACUGCAUGUUUCUGUGUAACUCCAAUACAGCUCUUCCUUGUGUUUUGGACUAUUACAGCCCAUGUGAUCCAAGGGCAGGUCUUGGGAAUUCUCAGCAUUCUUCUCAGGAUGACUGUGGUCCUAAAAGGCAAUUGCAGUUGUUCUCAGCUGACAAAACAGCCACAGAAAUAACAGGAAGGAAGAGCUUGUCACAGGUUUUAAUCAAGCGUCUCAUAAAGUAGUUCCUUUCCUGCCUUUUUUCCUGCUGCAAAAUUGGAAAUGCUAAACAUUUUUAAAAACAUCAGCCACAGAGAACUGGUGGGACCACACUGUGGGGAUCCAAGUGCAUGUUGGUUCCAUUUACUGAAAGCCUUGGCCAUGUCUAGGUAAGAGGCCUGCUGCCAGGGCAGCAGUACCCAUUGUGACCCAUUGGGACACAAGCCUGUCUACAGCGUUGAGGAGAACUAUCUUAGCAGCUGCCUUAGCACAUCUUAUCCGCUUUGUAUUUUCUUAUGCACCAUGCACUAUGUAAAGCAUCAUAAUGAAUUAUCAAAACAGAAUUACCAGUCUGCAGCCGUAGAAUGAAACUUUCUGAAGAAUUGCUGUGGGCUUCUGCAGCAGCGUUGAAAUCUACUGUGGCACAGCACACAUCAUUGAGAUGCAGGUUGGUGUGUCCUUCAGAUUUCUGGGGAUCAUAAUUACACAAAUCAAGGGUUCUUUGACCAUGGUGUCAGUAAUUUGCCAUUGCAGCUGAGACGAGAUGAUACAGCCUUGCACACGGAUGAAAUCAUCCUAAAAUUAGCUGGAUUAGUGAAAUGAUUGCAUUUAGACAAAAUCAGCAACCAGUACAAGGGCAGUGCAUCUGAAAUGCCUGUUGGCAAGGUCAAAUCAAGGCAGAUUCUUCCUUCAAAUUAUUAAAUCUUUUCCCUAAAUCCAGAUAGUUAUAUUCUUACAACUAAAGUUUCCUGUUGGCUGCCUAGCAGUCUCAGUAGACAUUUACCCACUGUGGGUUUUGAGUGGCUGUGUGACUCCCAGCAUUUGUCGACUUCCCAUCUGCUCGUGUUUUGCAGUGUAGGAGUGUGAGAUGGGCAGAGUUUAGAGACUGUCCUCUUUUUUUUUUUUUUCAGGAGUCUGUAUUUCAGCAAAGUUUAAAGGAGACCAAACGUGAAGCGUUGCUGUUUUGGUUGUGGUCUUCCUGUUUGUGGUUGGGUUUCUGUUUGGUUUCUGGGUUUUGUUUGCUGUGGGUUCUUAAAUACACUGAAGACACACUUGGCCUAGAGAGUCCCCACACAGAAAAUAAUGAAGGACGGAGGGUGGAGGGGAAGAUGUCCUACUUACCUGUGCUAUUUACUCACAGAAUCACAUGAUAGUCGAGCUUGGAAUGGAUCUCUGAGUCCUUCUGGCCCAACCCCAGCUCAAGCAGGCGAUCUGCAGCACAUUGCUCAGGUUUAAUGUGUGGCUUCAGUAGAUUCAGUUCAUUGUCUCAUUUCCAGAUCUGUCACUGUCUGUGAUUAGAGAUAUAGAGAUGACGUAGAGAUGACAUGAAAUGUUUCAAGAUCUAUAGAUGAAAUAUACUAAGAAAACAUAAAAGCAUUACUGUAAUGUAAUGGACUUAUCUUCCAAGUACUGUGCAUCCUAAAGAAAAUCAUAAGAGAUGAACUUCUCUGCAAAGUCAUUGUCCUGGACCUGACAUGGCCCAAAGCUGCUGGAGUUCAAGGAGCAUUUGGACAACACUCUUAAUAGUUUGGAUUUUGGGUGGUCCUGUGUGGAGCCAGGAGUUGGAUUAAUUCUUGCAUGUCCUUUCCAGUUUGGGAUUGUGAGAUAAUAGUCUGGUCAUCAAAUCAAGCCCAGAAUAAGUCUGUUGGUGCUCCCAAUAUUGGCACCAGCAUGCAAAAGUCCCUUUGCUUCCCCAGCUUGGAGCCCAGCCCCUCUUACUAUUGCAGCACCAGGCAGCCCUCUGCCUUCCUGUCCCCCAGCAUCAUCUCCUGCCAACAGUUGCUCUCUUCUUGGGGAUCCUGUCAGUGCCUUGAGAGUAGAGCUAACGUGGAAAAGCUUGGAAGAGCAGAAGCAGCUUAAUGCUGCUGAGAUGAGUGGAGUGUCUCUGCCUUUUUGUUCAUGGAAUCACAACCCUGCAAACAUCAGUACUUGUUUUGCCUUUGGUGCCUGUAAAUGCUAUGAGGGGCUUGGAAGUACCUCUCAGGCAGAUUUUAUAUGUGCUGGGUUUAUGCUUGUGGCCACCAUAAGACACUAAAAGGAAUAAAAUGUGAUUUGGACCGAAGUACUUGUUCGCUGAGCACUUUAUACCAUAAAAAAUGCCUUUAAAAUUGCCUUUAAAUUGUGGAAUGUUGUGAGUUUGGCAGCUGCCUAUGCUGCUUUCCUUCUAUCUUAUGGUUUCUCUAAGAGAAGACUUAAUUCUUAACACCACGUGUGUUUUGGUGUAAGGGCAGAGCCAAGGCUGCCCGUAGCUCUUGUUUCAUUGGGUGGACUGGGCUUCUUUUGACGCUUGGGUAGGAAUUACAUUUAACUAAUGAACUCUUCAGUCAGUACUGUGAAAAUUGAUCUUGGCGCAUUUAAAAUAGAUCCAGGGCUGAAUGUUACAGCUCGUUCAGUAUUCCCAUUUAUUACAUCCAGUGAAAUGCAUGGCAAACCUCCAGCUGAUUGCUUUGGAUACUGAAGGGAGUUGGACUCUGAUCUUUACAGGCUCCUUCCAACUGAGGAUGUUCUGUGAAGUGUUCCCCAGUGGAUGGGACCUAAAUACCUGAAAGACCUACAGACUAAUGUCACCUUUCUUACAGAGUUCUGCCUUAGUAAGAGGAGCAGUGAAUUGUAAUUCCUCUAUUUUUAGGUAUCAUGUUAAUAGAAUUUUAUAUAAAAAUAACUCUGCUUUGCCUCAGCUUUGUCACUUGAGUUAUACUGAAGUUAGUGAGGGUAAAAAGUGGCUUUUUUUUUAGGCUUGUGGGAGACUUGGAUAGGGAAGCUCAUUUUAUACAUUCACAAAAUGACCUGAGUUGCAUAGUUUGACCUUUAAUCUACUCUGUCUAGUUGCAUAUACUUUGCUUCUGUUCUAUUUCAUCAGCUGACACAAUCAAGCACAGCACACAAUUUCUAUAAAUGAGCUUGUGUGCAGCAUGCCAUGGGAUGUAAGAAUUACAGAAAUUUAGAGUGCAAUACAUGGGUUUCAACACAAUAAAAAUAGUUUUUCAUAUUAAUGCACAGCACUAAUAUUUUUGCCAUAUUCUGUUUAUGUCUUCACACUCCCCUCCUCGCAUCCGUAAAUAAUUCCUAGGUCUCUGCUGAACCUUAAAGUAACCAAUUAGUUUUCCCUUUAAUAAGAAAAUAAACUGGAACAUAAGUCAUGUUGCCUUCCGUAGGCACACCUUGCUGAGGGUCUGGUGCCGUGGUGCUGUUGCACAGUUAGGACUUAUGCCUGGAAACAUAUGUGUUACUUCGCUGAUUUCAAUCCACUUCAAGAGAGCGAAGAGACAAAUGGCUGUUUUAAUUACCCUGGGAGUUUUGAGUCAUGGAAUCAUAGAAUCACUGAGGUUGGAAAAGACCUCCAGGAUCAUCCAGUCCAGCUGUCCGUCUGCCACCACUGUUUCCCACUGAACCAUGUCAUCCAGUGCAACAUGAGCAUGCUUUUGAUUUUUAACCUCCUCUUUGAGGCCUGGACACUUGCUAUCUCUCCCCAGACAACACGACAUUCUGAUGAAUGACUUAGAUAUUUUCAGCUUAAUAAUAUUUUCUCUUUUAUUUUCUAACCGCAAAGCUUUUUAUAGUUCUCCAUACCAUACACAAAGCUCGGCUGUAAACUAAGCAGACUUGGUUCUGACAAAGAAAAUAACACCAACACCAAAGUUUUCUGUGAAUCAGACCUUUCUGCUUUGCUUCCCUUUGCAGCUCUUGUUUCAACAUGUUGAGAAGGGGUUGAUGUUCUAUGGAACUGAAUUUUCAGUGAAUUUCUAUAUUCUGUAUAAAAGGUCAGCAUUUUUUUUCUGUGUCCAGUUUAUAAAGUGAUAAGGCUGUUUUGUAAUAUGUCCGUAUGGAUUAACUGUGUUCAGCCUCAUAAAGCACGCAGUUAGGGCCGUACUGUGUUUUGCAACAGAGGAAGAAGUUGGUUAUUUCACAUACAGCAGUGUUCUGAACAAGGCAUCUUGAACUUUAACUCUUUGGCUUGGCAAAUGGAUUUGUCAUUUCCCCGAGUGCUUACAUUCAUUACAGAAGCUAUUAAGCUUUGUUUAAUCUUCAUUUCUAGGGUUUGAUGUUAAACCUGCAGGUAAUCUUAACUAUGCUUAGCUGCAAAUUAAAUGUCAUUUUUGAAAGUAUCUGCUUUAUUAGGGCUUCUGUUUUCAGGGUGGUCUAAGCAAGGGCAGGGGCUGGAGGGAGGAGCAUGUUUGUCAGCAGGCCAGCUGAUUUAGAUGGAGGGGAGAAGAAUGUGAACAAAGGGAUUUUGAUGUUCAUAACCCCUCUUUUAUCAUAUAUCAUAUGCAAUUUUAUCAUAUCCCCCAAUCAGAUCAGAUCUGUUGGUUCAACUUAAAGACAAAAAACCUCAACCAAACAAGAAAAAAAAACACUUUUUUUCUGGUGAGCCAUUUCUUACCCUAGAGGUAACUAAAUGUGUUCAUGUUGCCUUGUGUGUCUAUAGCUAAUUGCUGACACAAAACCACAUCUUCUCUAAAUUGGACCUUCAUAUCACAGUUGUUGGAGGGACAUGAAAAGACACCUUUUCAUGAAGGUGUCUAAACCUGGCCAUAAAAUGAGCCGAAUGACAACAGUUGCCAGCUGCAGUAGUAAGUCUGAAUCCUGUGAAAAGCUAAAUAUAAUCUAAAAAUGUAUAAGCUCUUCCCUACAGGUGUGAAUUCAGCAGAGUUGUGGAACAGUUGCUGGAGAAUUGCUUCUGACAUUGGAAAGUCAACAGACACUUCACGUUGGUUGCCCCAGAGCUCAUAAGGAAGGUGAGCUUGGACAGAUGAAGCAAAGAUAGAGUAUCACAAAGUGAAAUCUCCAACUAUGAGAAAUACUCAUAAUUCCACCAGAAUAAUUUGGCAGUUUUGGUGGUUUCUGGGUGAGAGAUGGGAUUUUUGCAUAAGGACCUGAACAUGUAUGGAAUGAUCAGGACAUGAGAAAGAAUUGAAAAUUCUUCCCUCUGCUUCUAGCGGACAGCUUGGCUUGUUGGGUGAAAGCGGUGGGAAGCAAUGAAUUGGAGAUCAACCAUGUGUUCCACAUAGAUGUGUCUACAGAAGUCUUCCAAAGCAGAAGUUAACGCUGAUCCCAGUGCUGAUGGCUUGCUUUCUGCAGAGACUGCUACUUUAUACUCACUAGGAAUUUUGCUGACAUUGGCAUCUUACACGCUUCUCAAGUACACCAUGUUCAAACACAAACUUGGUUGCUCAAAGAAUAAUAAAAGUGGUGGGAGUAUGUUUUGCCUUUAAGUUUGGAGCAUUUUCAGUGCACGUACCAGUGGGACUUGUUUUUCAUUUCACAUAUGCAACCCUUAAGUUUGGUACACUGCCUAGGUUGUGAUGUACAGUGGUAUUUAUUAGAGGGAGAUGCGUGUGACGUGCCUUUACUUUGUGUGCUGAUGCCAGCAGCUUUUACAAGCUUAUAUCCAGGGAAAAAAAUGUUUGGUAUGGCACAGAGGUCUCUCUAAACACUGCUGUUUGGCUUUCAGAAGGUGGUGUAGGCUUAACCCAUUGGGGGGCUUUCCACUGGUUUGUCAGCUUUGAAUCCAGCCUUGCUAAAAUUGAGGAAUGGGAGAUUAUUUGGUCACGGAAGGAUGAGAUUAAAGAUGGUGUGGUGUGAAAUUCCACUUUGUGAUACUCUGUCUUUGCUUCAUCUGUCCACGCUCAUCUUCCUUUUGAGCUCUGGGGCAACCAACAUGAAGUGUUCUGUUGACUUUCCAAUGCCAAAAGCAAUUCUCCAGCUUGCAGGCAAGGAACACUGGACUUCUUCUCAAGAGGUGCUGAACAAAAAACAAGUACACUAAGUGAGACAGCAUGGAGAGCUCGGGUUUGCCCUGCAGAGUCCUUGUAGCAUCUUCAUAAAACUCACCCAAGUGCCUUUGAAUUACGACCUUCCAAAUGUCCAUUGGUCAAGGGUAACUGGAAUUUUGAAACCAGAAUGAAUGCACGGCUGAUACUGGAGCUGGGCUGCACUCCCUAAAGGCAAGUAGGUGUUUUGGGUUUAAUGUGUUAUAACUUCGAAUACAGUUAACUAAAUCUUUUGUCAUAUAAAUAGAAAAGAAGUGAUGCAGAAGUGCUGGAAAGGAGCGGCUAGAGUCUGGCUGCUGCUGGAAAAUACCUCUGGUGUGUUGGCCACUUAUUAGGAGCUAAUUACAUUUUAAAGAUAAGCCUUAAUGGAUUUGGCGGUGAGAGUGCAACUGUAAUCAGAUCUCGUUGUUCUGUACCAGUGCCUUUCAGGUUGCUAUGCAAGGUCAAACAUCCCAUUGACUGGCAGCUGUACUGCUCUGCUUGUAGGAGAGUAACUGGCAUUUGGUAGAGUUGCAAAAUGAGUUUCCCACUGAAGCCAAAUAUAAAAAGUAUAUGAGAAUCAAACAGUUUCACUGCCUGCAAAGCUGAAAACCCUUGUAGCAUUUAUUAGGAUUUCCAGCAGGGAAUAAGGGAUAUUAAUCUUGUUUAACUUACAGGACCGUAAUAUUUGCACUGCAAUUUGUAAUGCAGAGCAAAAUUGUUCAAGCAGUGUUUCCUGAGGAACAGCAAAUUCAGUAAAGUGGGUGCUUGUAACCUUUUAUUUUCAUCAGAGGAGUAAAGCAGUUCACAGAACCCUGAUGUUCAACAGUGUUGGUGAAGGGAAGAAGAGCAGAGAGUGUGGUUACAAAUUGAAGAAGCAAGGAGUAGCUGAAACCUUUCAUGUCCUUCUCAGAGUCUUUGUUUGGCAUCACUGUUGUUUAAUCUCUGAGCUGUGCCACUGGAUCAUGUGUGCUUGUGGGAGGCAUAAACCUCAGUCUUGUUGAUAAAUCAGUCACUUGGUCAGUCCUCUGCAGGUUUUCAUUUUCCUAGUGUUGCCAGACUGCACUGAGGUCUGAGCUGACUGCAAUGAACGUGAUCUGGGCCCCAAACCAGAUCCACCUGAAGACCUGUGAGCCUCUUUCACUUUCUUGGUAAUUUUGGGAUCUCAAUAAUUUUGUUUAUACGUACACAUUGAAAUGCUGAACUUCCUUGGAUGCAGAAUGUACUGCCCUGUCAAAUACAUGCCAAAGUCUCCAUGUUUUUCAUCUUUCUGAAGAUUUGGAAUUUGGUGCAGGCUUCAGGUCAGUGCAGACGUGUGGUUUAGUUUGAUGGCAGGUGGAUAGUGGUGUUGGCAGCCACAGCUGUUUGACUGCCCAGAUUUCAGAGUGUCCCAAGGGGCUUUUCCACAGCAAACUGCUGGUAGCUCAUUACUGCAUGUCAGCAGGUAGCUCAAUGGGAGAGGUGGGCUGGAGGAUCAGGGAAUCAGCCUGGGCCCCCUGUGGGUUUUGACUACAGCAAGGGUGUUUUCGGAAACUAAGGGAUAUAAGUUGGAUACUGUUUCAAAUACCAAUUUAUGGGAAUGAAUAGAACAAAUUGCACCUUCUACAAUCUUUGUCUUCUUCAGAGUUGAAAUGUUAGAUAAAGAGAUGUGUGUUUCCAUGCAUGAAUAUUACCCCUUCAUGUGUAAUGGAUGCUGAUGUGUCUCAUAAGUUGGCUCUCAUAUCUCAAUGAUCCGAUCAGCUGCACUCUGAUCUGUAUUGGUAAAAACUGUCUGAUAAUUAUUUUUUUCCACUUCCCUUUUCUGCUCUCCCUGCUGCAUCAGAACUGCAGAGCAGAAGUCUGGAGUUACUCAGGCUCCAUCAGUGAUCAGUAGUAGUUCUUCCAUACAAUAACUUGCUUACUUUAGCACAGAAGUACUAGAAGUUUGUGGCUGAGAGUAACAUUUACAUCUCUCUUCUUUUGUUUAUGCAGGCUACAUACUGAGAGCUCUAUCACAGUGACUGAGAGGGAAGGACAGGAUUUCAUUCUUCAGUGCAAACCAACCCCCCCAAAAGGGCUGCAAAGAAUUGAAAUCAAUCUGAAGAAAAGCUAUUAAUAAUUCUUUUCAUACAACCUUACCCUGAGGCGGUUGAGCUUCUAAGGCUGAUCCUUAAGAAUGUCACCGACGUAGUGACACCAUCUCAAUGCAGGCGAUCGUCAGAGCAGGUUGAAAGAUCUCCUCUUUGCAAUGCCAUUCAGUUCUCAGAGCACUGUGUGUGCACUGUGGUGAUAAGUACUGUGCAAACACAAAAGGGAGACAUCAGACACCUUUCUGAGACACUUGUAACUUUACUGUAAAAUGUAUAAUUUAAUGUGCUGGAAAGCAGUAUCUAAAAUAUUCUGUAUACCAAGAGCUUACAUUCUCCUAACAAGAGUUUGUGUUACUUUGCAAGGUUCUUAUGUUUGCAAGCAGGCUUUCUCUGAGAGAUGAAGUACCCCUUGGUGAGACCUAUAUGCUGAACCUGUGCUUGGCUUGCUGUGCCCUUGCAAGUUUCUGCAGCACACUUCUGCUGCUGCUGGGCUGUGCAUGUGAGGAGGAUCUGACUUGAGUAGCUCUUGAGACUAACUUGCAUCUGGAAAAGAUGGAGCUGAGUCACAUGUGCACUAUGGCCACAUCUGGAAUGGCCAUGCAUCUUGCAUCUGCUUUGCAUAUAAUCUGUGCAUAUGCAGAGUUGCUGAUCAUCUUCUGGAUGCAUUGGAUGUUACAUCCACUCACAGAUUAACUCUGCAUGAAGCCUGUAGCUCUGAGGCAGCUUUUGGAUGUUCCUGGGGCAAAGGGAAAAGCCCAUACAUUUUUAUCCCCCUAAAGAAAGAUCUAGGUGGAAAUGAUGAAUGUGCCUUGAGAUGCUGGUAUAUGGGAGAGUAGAUCUGAAAUUUCAUCCUUUAGAGAGCAAAUCUGUGUGUUUGGUAAUACACAAAUGCUAGGUGAAAGAACAAGGUAAUAGAAUUUUUAAAGAUACUAUUGCUCCACAAAUUAAAAAACAUUGCUAUUAUGUAGAAACAUCACUUACAUCAAUAAUUUUCUGUAAGUUAAGCCUGAAGUGGAAAUGAUACUUUUUCACUCCAGGUCAAUUCCUUCACUAUUCAUUCUGCAGAGCCAGUUGGUCAGCUGCCAUAUUAUAGCUCCUCUUAUCUCUGCCAGCAGUGAUCUCAACCAUAGCAUGUUAAAGCACGUUACAUACCAACUGCUGUGUCCCAUACCUCCCAUCAAACAGACAACAUUUUAUAAAAUGAAAUGCAUUUUGUCAAGUAUUUCCCGAAAGUGAAGUACAAAACAAGCUGCUGGCAAGCAGAUGUUCAGCUGAUUAAAACUAAAAAAUAUUCCUAGAACUUGCAUAUCUUUUUUUUUUUUAAUUAAUCUGCUUAGUUAAUCACUUGUAAUUUCUGUCCUUAUUGUGGGGCGAUUUAAAACCUCCAGUCACAUCGUGUAUAUUACAAACCUGCAUACAUCUGAGGUAAUUACUUUGUCUGCAUUGCUAAUGUAAUAAUUCAAGGAGAAAUAAGGUAAGCUGAAUGCUCAUGCUUUAAACUAGUGGGACAGAAAGCUGAGUGUAGUCUGCUCUUCCUGCUGCUUAACCAUCUUACUGGGCAGAUGCUGCAGCCAGUGAUUUCUUAGAAAUCAAGAGAUUAUUGGCCUCUUUUUCCUCUCAUUUUAUUUAAUGACACCUUCCAGCAAUGGUCUAGGACUAGAUCCAAAGCAGAUUGAAUUUGAUGGGAAACAAAUGAGUAAUUGCAGCCCUUUGCUGUAAAGUAUUCAGAGUUGUUGUCUUACUGGCUUCAUAACAUUUAAGAAAGUGCUUUGCUGAAGUGGAGCAUACAUUUUUGAUUUAGUAUCCCUCUGCUGUAAGACUGAAUAUUUCAGUGUCUUCUGGCCAAAGUCUAUCCGAGAAGUGGCAGUACAGGAGCACAGCUGGGCUGUAAAGUGAAGGUGAUGCAUUUCUGCUCUGCAUUCAGAGGAAGAGAGAAAUAAAACAAGGAUAAUAUUGCAGUAUCGUUGAGUACCAGACAGAAGAAAAACAACUGUAAAAACUAACUAGACUUGUAGAAUGAGGUUCAGACAACUUACAAUGUCUCCAGUUGACAUCUGCUUUACUGAAUAAAUAACAGAAAAAAACUGAAAAAACUUAACUGAAAAAAGACUGAAAACAAAUAAUAGUCUACAGAGUGACAACAGUCUCUUCAGGUGUCAAAGCUUUUAAGUGUUGUAAAUUUACUCUCAGCUUUGCAGUGUUGAUAUGGAUUUUUUUUUUCAUUGAUUCACUUUCUUCUUUUAAUUCAAAAACAUAUUGGAUGAAAGAAAAGACAUAAGUUAGGCCUGAGACAUUAUGACUGAUCCUUGUCAAUCUCAUCCUGCAUUCUCUAAUGCUAGCAUAGGAGUUUGAGCUGUCCUUCCCACCUUUGAUGUCACUGAAUUUGAUUGAAGUAUAACUGAUUAAAGAGGGUUUGGAGCUGGAGUCUACCCCGAGAAAUGGAACUCAGACCUUUCUCCCUCCUGUGGAUGUGCAGUAACCCAGAAAUAGAUGUUGGGUUUUGAUUCAUCUUGUCUUGGUACAAAACGUAAUAUUCUGAUAUGUUUGCCAUUUUGGUUUCUACUUAUCUUUGCCCAGCUCCCUUGCUCCUCAGUUUGGGAAGUUGGGGGAAUCAAUCCAAAUGUAGCAGUAAGAAGGAACGUGGUAAGUGUUGUCUGCAAAACAGAACAAAAGGAAUGUAAACCCUGCAACUAUGGCAGACUCACUCUGUUUUCAAGAUGCAAGGCCAUUCAAAAGCAGAAAGACUGUGCAGUCCUUGACAAAAAAAAUGUUGAGAUCAGCAACAUUGUGUGAUUGUUUUUUGAUCCUUCUGGAAUUCAGAUGCAGUACUGAGAGUCAGGAGCUGGGAUACAACAGGGUGUAUUCCUGACAGUGUGUUCAGAAUGACAUGCAGGACCCAUAAAUUCUUCUGAGAUCUGGUGGGAGAAUUCACUGCUGGAGAGAUCUGUGAAUAAUAUGAAUGUGGAUGACCUGGUUUGUGUGUAAAUCCUCAGUGGGUUUUCUAUGAGGAAAAAUAAGCUCAGAAUGUUUGCUUCAUGCUGGAUCUUACGGUCUUCUAAGACAAAUGUAGUGUAGAAAUUGGCGGCUUCUGGAGGAAAAAGUAAUUUUUAAUUCAAGUUAUUCAGGUAAACUUGGAGUUUGCAGAGCUGCUUCCUUCUACUGGGAAAAACACAAGCACCAGGACAACUUGCAUGCAGAUGUUUUUAUUGAGAACUGCAUAAAUGGGAUGGAGGGAUAACUGAUUCUAUAAUCUUGCAUUUAAUAGAAAGCUAUUUUAAAACCAUUUGCACUGGUGCACUGUAACUCAUCGCAACGUUGUAAUCUGCAAUAAGAUUUUGAAAAGUACAAAUUAUAUUUCUCCAACGGGAUCUGGACAGUUUUAGUAUAACUUGGGUACUCAUCAAAGUAGAACUUCACAUGAUAUUUCUCUGAAACUGCUUUGUUUCAUAAGCACAAGAGUGUGCCUAGAGAAUGAUUUCUGGCAGAUUCUGGCCUCUUUAUGCUGAGUCCUAAUUCACCCCUGCUGUUCUCUGAAAUUAAAACCUUCUGAUUCUCUUGCAGGAAGAGGUGUUCCUAUUGCCAUCUGCAAAAUAUCAGCAUCUUCUGCAUCUUGCUAAAAUUCUUCUGGCCUCUCUGUACUCAUGAUUUUUAAAGAACAUUCGAAGGCAAAUUCUUAUCUUCUGUCAAACCUAGAGGUUAAGAAACUGAAUAUGCCUUGUCAUAUAAGCAAUCCAUUCAGCAGGCAUUGGUUCAUUUACUGUUUCUUAUCAGCCAUUAAACCACGUUCUUUUUAUGGUAUUCUGCUGGAGGAAAAACAAUGUUUGUCCAUUUGUGUAUGAGCCCAUCACUUCAUGCACCUCCAUGUAAAAACGUCUCUGUAAAGCAAUAGCUCAGCUUCCAAAGGCUGAGUUUCAAACAGUACAAUCUGGAUGUGUUUGCACAUUUUCUUUUAGCGCUCUCCUUUUACAAAUGUUGAAUGUAGAUCACGAGUGGAAAGGCUUAGGGAAAUGCAUUCAUAGCUUUAAGCCUGAAUAUACCUUCUGUGUGUAAUUUGCAAUACUUCUGAGAAAUCCAAAAUAUUUCAUGUCAUCAAUACAACCUUGUUUUGAAUAUGAGAUUCUUGUCAGAAAAGGAUUUGAAGAUAACAGUAAGAUAAAGGGGUGGGAAUUAAAAAUCUCUGUCUUCUAAUAAAAUGAAAAGAGUAAUACCAAAA
Tympanuchus pallidicinctus (lesser prairie-chicken) is the source of this 14351-nucleotide long non-coding RNA. RefSeq lists it as uncharacterized. The record is from RefSeq and is a predicted model, not a curated record. The transcript has 2 exons. Lineage: Eukaryota; Metazoa; Chordata; Aves; Galliformes; Phasianidae.